GCUUAGAGUUUGAUCCUGGCUCAGAACGAACGCUGGCGGCACGCCUAACACAUGCAAGUCGAACGAAGCACUUGAGCUUGCUCUUGUGACUUAGUGGCGAACGGGUGAGUAACACGUGGGAAUCUACCUAUUGGUGGGGGAUAACUUUUGGAAACGAAAGCUAAUACCGCAUAAGCCCUUCGGGGGAAAGAUUUAUCGCCAAUACAUGAGCCCGCGGUAGAUUAGGUAGUUGGUGAGGUAACGGCUCACCAAGCCGAUGAUCUAUAGCUGGUCUGAAAGGAUGAUCAGCCACACUGGGACUGAGACACGGCCCAGACUCCUACGGGAGGCAGCAGUGAGGAAUCUUGGACAAUGGGGGGAACCCUGAUCCGGCGAUGCCGCGUGAGUGAAGAAGGCCCUAGGGUUGUAAAACUCUUUCAAUCGGGAAGAUGAUGACGGUACCGAUAGAAGAAGCACCGGCUAACUCCGUGCCAGCAACCGCGGUAAUACAGAAGGUGCUAGCGUUGUUCGGAAUUACUGGGCGUAAAGCGUGCAUAGGCGGCCCAUUAAGUCAAACGUGAGAGCCCCGAGCUCAACUUGGGAACUGCGUUUGAUACUGGUGAGCUAGAGUUCUAGAGAGGUAAGUGGAAUUCCUAGUGUAGAGGUGAAAUUCGUAGAUAUUAGGAGGAACACCACAGGCGAAGGCGGCUUACUGGAUAGACACUGACGCUGAGGUACGAAAGCGUGCGGAGCAAACAGGAUUAGAUACCCUGGUAGUCCACGCCGUAGACGAUGAGUGCUAGAUGU
Molecule: ribosomal RNA, 786 nt
Filed under: uncultured bacterium
Lineage: Bacteria
Description: bacterial SSU rRNA
Rfam family: Bacterial small subunit ribosomal RNA
Source: RNAcentral